Molecule: long non-coding RNA, 1837 nt
Filed under: Homo sapiens (human)
Lineage: Eukaryota; Metazoa; Chordata; Mammalia; Primates; Hominidae
Description: LHRI_LNC1525.1
Source: RNAcentral
ACUUUGGGAGGCUGAGGCAGGCAGAUCAGCUGAAGUCAGGAGUUUGAGACCAGCCUGGCCAACAUGGUAAAACCACGUCUCUACUAAAAUACAAAAACUAGCCAGGUAUGGUGGCGGGUGCCUGUAAUCCCAGCUACUCGGGAGGCUGAGGCAGGAGAAUCACUUGAACCCAGGAGGUGGAGGUUGCAGUGAGCUGAGAUCGUGCUGCUGCCUUCCAGUCUGGGUGACAGAGCCAGACUCCAUCAAUAAUAAUAAUAAUAAUAAUAAUAAUAAUAAUAAUAAUGAUAGCUACCACUACUGAACAUAUAUGAUGUCCCAGGCACCAUUCACAGGUAUGAACUCACUGAAUCCUCAGAGCAACCUUAUGAGUAGGGAUGAUCACUCUGUUCUUUUUAAUAGCUGUUGAGACUGAGGCAUGCCUUGCUAAUAAGAUGGCAUUGCCCAGUGUGGCAGGUUGAGUAAUGGCUCCCUGAAGAUGUCCACCUUCUAAUCCCCAGUACCUGCAAAUAUUACCUUGCAUCGAAAUUACCUGUAAAGUAAAAUGGUAAAAAUGGAAUAUAAUCUUACAUGGAAAAAAGGGAUUUUGCAGGUAUGAUUAAGUUAAGGAUUUUUUUUUUUUUUUUAAGAUGGAGUCUCACUCUGUUGCCCAAGCUGAAGUGCAGUGGCGCAAUCUCAGCUCACUGCAAACUCCACCUCCCAGGUUCAAGAGAUUCUCCUGCCUAAGCCCCUGAGUAUCUGGGACUGCAGGCACGUGCCACCAUGCCCGGCUAAUUUUUAUAUUUUUAGUAGAGAUGGGGUUUCACUAUGUUGGCCAGGCUGUUCUUGAAAUCCUGACCUCAGGUGAUCUACCUGGCCUCCCAAAGUCCUGGGAUUACAGGUGUGAGUCACCAUGCUCGACCUAAGUUAAGGAUCCUGAUACAGGAAGAUUAUCCUGGAUGAUCUGGGUGGGUCCAAUGUUGAGGAGAGUCCUAAUAAGAGGUAAAUAGUAAUGUCAGAGUCACAGAAGGAAUGUGAUGAUGAAAACAGAGAAAGAGAGAGAGAGAAAGGGCAGAAGAGAAGGAAAGAGAGGCUUGAUGCCACACUGCUGACCUUGAAGACUGAGGAAAGGACCGUGAGCCAAGGAAUGCAGGCAGCCUCCAGAAGCUGGAAAUGAAUUCUCCUCUGGAGCCUCCGGAAAGAACAGAGUCCUGUUAACGCCUUGAUUUUACAACUUUUGACUUCUAAAUUUAUGUUGUUUUAAGCUAUUAAGUUUGUGGUAAUUUGUUAUAACAGCAACAGGAAAUAAAUACACGAGGAUUAAAACCCAGGCAGUUUGACCCUAGUGCCAUCGUUCUUAACUAUGGUCAUAUAUGAGGUUAUUAGCUAUGUCCAGGGUGCUAUGUGAAUCUAGAGAAAUAACACUUAACAGAGAGAUAGGGAAGGACAGAUAGUGUCAGCAAGAUGACAAUCUAGCUCUCUUAAGUGGGGCAGGAGUUACGAAGGCAGUGAAGGAAGGAAGGAUAAGGAAUUGAAUUAACAUAGAAAGAUAUGCAUGAUAUCAUAGGUGAAACUAUUCUACUAUUAUGUAUUUGUUUCCCCAUUUCUGUUUUUAGAAAUAUAUACAUGAGUUUAUUUAUAUUUAUAAUCAUAUGUGCAGAUAAUAUGCUCUUAUAGUGCUCUUUGGGGAGUGGGUUUCUGGGUAAAUGUAAGAGAAGGCUUUACUUUUUGCUUAUAAAUUUUCACAUUAUUUGAAAAUUUCAUCACACAUGUAUUAUGUUGGGCUUACUUUUUUGUAAAAUAAAGUAUGUGUAAUAUAUCAUUUUUCAAAAUUGGAGAAAAUGAUAUGCAUUGCUGGGAU